RNAcentral lists this ribosomal RNA (582 nucleotides) under Burkholderia sp. StRD636. RNAcentral describes it as "bacterial SSU rRNA". It matches the Rfam family "Bacterial small subunit ribosomal RNA", at positions 102 to 680 of the family's 1533-position model. Lineage: Bacteria; Pseudomonadati; Pseudomonadota; Betaproteobacteria; Burkholderiales; Burkholderiaceae. The record is from RNAcentral.
ACGGGUGAGUAAUACAUCGGAACGUGUCCUGUAGUGGGGGAUAGCCCGGCGAAAGCCGGAUUAAUACCGCAUACGCUCUACGGAGGAAAGGGGGGGAUCUUAGGACCUCUCGCUACAGGGGCGGCCGAUGGCAGAUUAGCUAGUUGGUGGGGUAAAGGCCUACCAAGGCGACGAUCUGUAGCUGGUCUGAGAGGACGACCAGCCACACUGGGACUGAGACACGGCCCAGACUCCUACGGGAGGCAGCAGUGGGGAAUUUUGGACAAUGGGCGCAAGCCUGAUCCAGCAAUGCCGCGUGUGUGAAGAAGGCCUUCGGGUUGUAAAGCACUUUUGUCCGGAAAGAAAACUUCUGGGUUAAUACCCUGGGAGGAUGACGGUACCGGAAGAAUAAGCACCGGCUAACUACGUGCCAGCAGCCGCGGUAAUACGUAGGGUGCAAGCGUUAAUCGGAAUUACUGGGCGUAAAGCGUGCGCAGGCGGUUCGCUAAGACAGAUGUGAAAUCCCCGGGCUUAACCUGGGAACUGCAUUUGUGACUGGCGGGCUAGAGUAUGGCAGAGGGGGGUAGAAUUCCACGUGUAGCA